This 74-nucleotide transfer RNA is filed under the name Cotesia glomerata. Its description in RNAcentral is "tRNA-Thr". Lineage: Eukaryota; Metazoa; Arthropoda; Insecta; Hymenoptera; Braconidae. The record is from RNAcentral.
GUAUAGAUCGGCUCAAAUGGUAGAGUAGCCGACAUGUCUUCGGAAGGUUCUGGGUUCGAAUCCUAGUCCGAGCU